RNAcentral lists this ribosomal RNA (253 nucleotides) under uncultured bacterium. Its description in RNAcentral is "partial 16S ribosomal RNA". It matches the Rfam family "Bacterial small subunit ribosomal RNA", at positions 524 to 776 of the family's 1533-position model. The record is from RNAcentral.
UACGUAGGUGGCAAGCGUUGUCCGGAAUUACUGGGCGUAAAGCGUGCGCAGGCGGUUGUGCAAGUCAGAUGUGAAAUCCCCGGGCUUAACCUGGGAACUGCAUUUGUGACUGCACGGCUAGAGUGCGGCAGAGGGGGAUGGAAUUCCGCGUGUAGCAGUGAAAUGCGUAGAUAUGCGGAGGAACACCGAUGGCGAAGGCAAUCCCCUGGGCCUGCACUGACGCUCAUGCACGAAAGCGUGGGGAGCAAACAGG